UUUAGGGGUGCUCUUCUAGAUGAAAUUAAAGACAACAAGGAUUGAAAAGUCAUUCUGUGGCAGUGCAUGAGGAAUUGGUAAUGUGCCAUGUUUGAGUGAUGCACUUACAUCCAACAAUCCUCAGGGUUCCAAUGCUGCAAGAGAAUCCAGCUGGCUCUGCUGUUCUCUGAGGAUGAAAACAGUUUCAAGCAGGGACCACUGUAGAAACAGACUACCAACCACAGAGGAAGAGGGAUGGUUUUCUCAAGGCCACACAAGAAUCACAGCACUCAUUCAAGGAUAAAGCAAUGGGACUGUACUGCCUUCCACAUUACA
Molecule: long non-coding RNA, 315 nt
Organism: Ficedula albicollis (Collared flycatcher)
Lineage: Eukaryota; Metazoa; Chordata; Aves; Passeriformes; Muscicapidae
Exons: 3
Source: RefSeq, a predicted model, not a curated record